UACGUAGGGGGCUAGCGUUGUCCGGAAUCAUUGGGCGUAAAGAGCGUGUAGGCGGUCCGGUAAGUCUGCUGUGAAAGUCGGGGGCUCAACCCUCGAAUGCCGGUGGAUACUGUCGGGCUAGAGUGCGGAAGAGGCGAGUGGAAUUCCUGGUGUAGCGGUGAAAUGCGCAGAUAUCAGGAGGAACACCUAUUGCGAAGGCAGCUCGCUGGGACGUCACUGACGCUGAGACGCGAAAGCGUGGGGAGCAAACAGG
Molecule: ribosomal RNA, 253 nt
Filed under: uncultured bacterium
Lineage: Bacteria
Description: partial 16S ribosomal RNA
Rfam family: Bacterial small subunit ribosomal RNA
Source: RNAcentral